GGUGAUGUCCCGGAAGGUCAGCAGGAAGAGCACCACCAGGUCCCGUUCGUUGCGGAUGGGGGCCACCUGGAGCAGCAGCCAUAGCGGCGUUUCUGCGGAAUUAAUAACAAUUAUGGGGGCCACACUGAGAGUGCGCUGCACAAACCCGGGGAUAUAGUAUAGAUAAUUCGCAGUCGCAUUCGCAUUCGGGUCACGACCAUCCGACAGACUGAAGGGGAGAAGAGCAGACAUUCCAUUGGAUUGCAAUUAUUGAUAUGGAACGCUGGAUAAUGGAGGCUGGGCUCUGAAUGCUCGAUGGAUGUUGCAGCCAGACAAUGGUCGGCAUGGAAAUCACCAGAAUGCUGUGUACAGUGCACUCCAUAUGUGUGCAACAGCCGAAACUGUUUGCUCUUUGUCCGUCCGGAUGAAUAAUUCAGCAAUUGUCGCAGCAAUCGAUGGGUUUUGCAACCGAAAACGAAGCAUUUAAUUCGCACAUUGAAUUUGGAAUGGUUCACACGCGACCAGAAAAAAUGGAAACAAACAAAAACGACGACGGCGACAACAACAAAGUGGGUCACACCAACACGGAUGAUUGAGCGCCCGAAAGAGAGCGAUAGAUGCCCCCAGAGAGAGAGAGAGAGAGAGAGAGAGAGACAGAGAGAGACGGCAUUCAUGGAGGAGGAAGGAGUGAAGCGUAUCGCUAGCUAAACGGUAGAUUGGUAUUAAAAACUGGUAUUUUUUUCCCACUCGGGAAUUCAACCGGUGAUGCUGCAGAGCAGAUAAAGAGGCGUCAUCGCAGAAAAUCUAAUCAUGGCACUUCACGGCACUUCAACGGCAGACGCACACUUAUGAAACGCACUGUACUGAAUGCUGUCAAUUUGGGGACCAAUCGCAAAUCGCCCGCUGACGUCACAAGCCAAAAAAUGGAGGUAAAAUAGGAACGGAAAGUCAAGCCUCUCAGCACUCGCCUAUUUAUAAUAAAUGGAAUGUCGCCACGCCCCCUUAAUAUGCCCCUACACUCCUCUCCCCUACCCCUCCCCCUCCUCUUCGCCCCUUCGCCUCCACUUCACUCCCCGUUGCUGACACACUUGCCACAUGCCAUGGCCCCUAUUUUCCACCAUUUUCCACAAUUUUCCCCCACUCCAUUCCCCUCGUGCACCUUGCUUGCAGCACAUGAAAAACGAGAGGAGUUUUCCUGGCCGAGUGUGUGUGUGUGUGUGUGUGAGAGUGGCAAAAACCAACUACAACUAUUUUGGACGUAUAUGUGGCAGCCACUGUGGCUGAUGCACUGAAAGAAAUGCCUUCUAGAAUUGUAAAAGGGAAGUUUGUACAACAAUACAACCAUGAAUAAAUGUAAUAAACUUAUAUACUUUUCGAAAUCAAAUUGAGAGAUUCAGCUCAUUAUAAAAUGUAACAAUUUAUAAAUAUGUU
Drosophila ficusphila is the source of this 1410-nucleotide long non-coding RNA. RefSeq lists it as uncharacterized. The record is from RefSeq and is a predicted model, not a curated record. Lineage: Eukaryota; Metazoa; Arthropoda; Insecta; Diptera; Drosophilidae. The transcript is spliced from 4 exons.